UUGGAGGGCAAGUCUGGUGCCAGCAGCCGCGGUAAUUCCAGCUCCAAUAGCGUAUAUUAAAGUUGUUGCAGUUAAAAAGCUCGUAGUUGAAUUUCGGGAUCAAUACGUCGGUCGUGCUUUCGGGUACGUACUGGCGUCAUUGGUUUCUCCUUUCUGACGAACCAUGAUGUCAUUAAUUUGGUGUUAUGGGGAGUUAGGACUGUUACUUUGAAAAAAUUAGAGUGUUUAAAGCAGGCAUUAGCUUGAAUACAUUAGCAUGGAAUAAUGAAAUAGGACGUUCGAUCCGAUUUUGUUGGUUUCUAGGAUCAACGUAAUGAUUAAUAGGGAUAGUUGGGGGCAUUAGUAUUCAAUUGUCAGAGGUGAAAUUCUUGGAUUUAUUGAAGACUAACUACUGCGAAAGCAUUUGCCAAGGAUGUUUUCAUUAAUCAAGAACGAAAGUUAGGGGAUCGAAGACGAUCAGAUACCGUCGUAGUCUUAWCCAUAAACUAUGCCGACUAGGGAUCGGAUGAUGUUAAUUUUUUAAUGACUCAUUCGGCGCCUUACGGGAAAC
Molecule: ribosomal RNA, 550 nt
Filed under: uncultured Glomeromycotina
Lineage: Eukaryota; Fungi; Glomeromycota
Description: SSU rRNA
Rfam family: Eukaryotic small subunit ribosomal RNA
Source: RNAcentral